GCGGAGACCACCAGCUUCUUCGAGAAACAGAAGCCCUUCAGGAAGUCUGAGAUCUGCAAGAGGAAGUAGUGGAGGAACAGGAGGGUGGCUUCCCUCACAUGAAGGACACUUGGAUGAUGAUGGAUACACUCUUGAUCUCAACAUGAGUUCUUCUAGGGGAGCCAUUCCAGUUAAAAGAGGUCCAUCUUCACGAAGUGGAGGUCUUCCUCCUAAAAAAUCUGCUCCUUCUGCUAUGGCAAGAAGCAAUAGUUGGAUGGGAGGCCAAGGUCCCAUAUCACAUGGAAGAGAGAAUUACGGAAGUCCUCCAUGCAGAGAGCCAAUCUCUUCCC
RNAcentral lists this long non-coding RNA (329 nucleotides) under Homo sapiens (human). RNAcentral describes it as "novel transcript". The record is from RNAcentral. Lineage: Eukaryota; Metazoa; Chordata; Mammalia; Primates; Hominidae.